CACGUAGGGCGCAAGCGUUGUCCGGAAUUAUUGGGCGUAAAGAGCUCGUAGGCGGACUGUCACGUCUGCUGUGAAAAGCUGGGGCUUAACCCUGGCCUUGCAGUGGAUACGGGCAGACUAGAGGUAGGUAGGGGAGAAUGGAAUUCCCGGUGUAGCGGUGAAAUGCGCAGAUAUCAGGAGGAACACCGGUGGCGAAGGCGGUUCUCUGGGCCUGUACUGACGCUGAGGAGCGAAAGCGUGGGGAGCGAACAGG
This 253-nucleotide ribosomal RNA is filed under the name uncultured bacterium. RNAcentral's name for it is "partial 16S ribosomal RNA". It matches the Rfam family "Bacterial small subunit ribosomal RNA", at positions 524 to 776 of the family's 1533-position model. The record is from RNAcentral.